GAUGAACGCUGGCGGCGUGCCUAAUACAUGCAAGUCGAGCGAACAGACGAGGAGCUUGCUCCUCUGACGUUAGCGGCGGACGGGUGAGUAACACGUGGAUAACCUACCUAUAAGACUGGGAUAACUUCGGGAAACCGGAGCUAAUACCGGCUAAUAUAUUGAACCGCAUGGUUCAAUAGUGAAAGACGGUUUUGCUGUCACUUCUAGAUGGAUCCGCGCCGCCUUAGCUAGUUGGUAAGGUAACGGCUUACCAAGGCAACGAUGCGUAGCCGACCUGAGAGGGAGGAUCGCCACCCCGAGAAGCGGAAACCGUCCCACCACCUACAGGAAGCCAAAGUAAGGAAUCUUACACGAUAGAAGAAACACCUAGCGAAGAACCCCCAAGGAGUUAUGAAGGUCCUCGGGUCAUAAAACCCUGUUAUUAGGGAAGAACAAAUGUGUAAGUAACUAUGCACGUCGUGACGGUACCUAAUCAGAAAGCCACGGCUAACUACGUG
Molecule: ribosomal RNA, 497 nt
Filed under: uncultured bacterium
Lineage: Bacteria
Description: partial 16S ribosomal RNA
Rfam family: Bacterial small subunit ribosomal RNA
Source: RNAcentral